RNAcentral lists this ribosomal RNA (220 nucleotides) under uncultured bacterium. RNAcentral describes it as "partial 16S ribosomal RNA". It matches the Rfam family "Bacterial small subunit ribosomal RNA", at positions 57 to 305 of the family's 1533-position model. The record is from RNAcentral.
GCAAGUCGAACGGACUCUUCGGGGUUAGUGGCGCACGGGUGAGGAACACGUGGGAACAUACCCUUUGGUAGGGAAUAAUGUCUGGAAACGGACACUAAUACCCUAUAAUGACUUCGGUCCAAAGAUUUAUCGCCAAAGGAUUGGCCCGCGCAUGAUUAGAUAGUUGGUGAGGUAAUGGCUCACCAAGUCUACGAUCAUUAGCUGGUCUGAGAGGAUGAUC